This 254-nucleotide ribosomal RNA is filed under the name uncultured bacterium. RNAcentral's name for it is "partial 16S ribosomal RNA". It matches the Rfam family "Bacterial small subunit ribosomal RNA", at positions 524 to 776 of the family's 1533-position model. The record is from RNAcentral.
UACGUAGGGGGCGAGCGUUGUCCGGAUUCAUUGGGCGUAAAGAGCUCGUAGGCGGCUUGGCAAGUCGGAUGUGAAAACUCCAGGCUCAACCUGGAGCCGCCAUUCGAUACUGCUAUGGCUAGAGUCCGGUAGGGGAGUGUGGAAUUCCUGGUGUAGCGGUGAAAUGCGCAGAUAUCAGGAGGAACACCAGUGGCGAAGGCGGUGAUCUGGGCCAGUACUGACGCUGAGGAGCGAAAGCGUGGGGAGCAAACAGG